CGAAGAGUAAUCGUUUGUUUGUUUUCCUUUCCAAUUGUCCUAUUGUUAAUGUUGGUACAUCAACAUCACCGACCUUUCAAACGAUUUCAAACGAUUAAUUUCCUAAGCGAUGUUGUCAGUCGCUCAAGUUUAGUCAGUCAAAAGGAAAUGUGAUAGAAAAAGUAAAAAUCAUUUUUCACGAAAUAACUAUGUAUAUAAGAACUAGAAAAAGAUCGGCAAACUUCAGCAAGAUUUCCGCAAAGAUUACGGACAUGUCUGGGUCAACAUGGUAUACCUGCUCAGAGUAAACUUGAUGCAAAAUUUGGAGUGAAAGAAAAUUUAACGAAAAUAGUCAUGGUAUCCAUAUGCUAUCCAUGAGAUUGUUGCAUCAUAGCCGCAUAUUAUAGCCGAAAAAGCAGCGUAUAUCAUAGCCGAAAAUUAAACGCACGAUCAUAAACGUACAUAAAAGUCAUUAUAUCAACCUCGUUAUCCAUGUAAGAAUACAAUCUCGCCCAUAUUCGUCCAUAUUUAUGAUUUCGACAUAGUUGCGAGUUUGAUUUAAUAAGUUUUUUGUAAAAAACUAAGCUGACUGAUUACAUACGACAUUUCCAUCAAAAAUAUUUUUGUUUUUGUGAAUAUUUUUACAAAGGACAUUCUCUUGUCAGAAAUUUGUUGGAAUCAAAUCUUACACGUUAGAGAUAAUUUGCUCGAAACGAUCAUGAGGAUUAGUUCAAAGCAAAUAAACACUGAAAUAGUCGGAUAUUUAUAACUCAGGACCAAUAAUAACUUUCCAUCACGAUGUACGUUACUUCGAAUACGGAAACAAUGUGAAAAAAAUUAUUGCGAUACAUACC
Molecule: long non-coding RNA, 833 nt
Organism: Harpegnathos saltator (Jerdon's jumping ant)
Lineage: Eukaryota; Metazoa; Arthropoda; Insecta; Hymenoptera; Formicidae
Exons: 3
Source: RefSeq, a predicted model, not a curated record